Molecule: ribosomal RNA, 253 nt
Filed under: uncultured bacterium
Lineage: Bacteria
Description: partial 16S ribosomal RNA
Rfam family: Bacterial small subunit ribosomal RNA
Source: RNAcentral
UACGUAGGGUGCGAGCGUUAAUCGGAAUUACUGGGCGUAAAGUGUGCGCAGGCGGCCGAGCAAGUCGAGUGUGAAAGCCCCGGGCUUAACUUGGGAAUUGCGCUCGAAACUACUUUGCUGGAGUGUGGCAGAGGAAGGUGGAAUUCCACGUGUAGCGGUGAAAUGCGUAGAGAUGUGGAGGAACACCAAUGGCGAAGGCAGCCUGCUGGGCCAACACUGACGCUCAUGCACGAAAGCGUGGGGAGCAAACAGG